Molecule: ribosomal RNA, 440 nt
Filed under: uncultured bacterium
Lineage: Bacteria
Description: partial 16S ribosomal RNA
Rfam family: Bacterial small subunit ribosomal RNA
Source: RNAcentral
CCUACGGGCGGCUGCAGUAGGGAAUAUUGCUCAAUGGGGGAAACCCUGAAGCAGCAACGCCGCGUGAUGGAUGACGGUUUUCGGGUUGUAAACUCCUUUUGUUAGAGAAGAUAAUGACGGUAUCUAACGAAUAAGCACCGGCUAACUCCGUGCCAGCAGCCGCGGUAAUACGGAGGGUGCAAGCGUUACUCGGAAUCACUGGGCGUAAAGAGGGCGUAGGCGGGAUAGCAAGUCAGAUGUGAAAUCCUAUGGCUUAACCAUAGAACUGCAUUUGAAACUGUUAGUCUAGAGUAUGGGAGAGGUAGGUGGAAUUCCUGGUGUAGGGGUAAAAUCCGUAGAGAUUAAGAGGAAUACUCAUUGCGAAGGCGACCUGCUAGAACAUAACUGACGCUGAUGCGCGAAAGCGUGGGGAGCAAACAGGAUUAGAUACCCCAGUAGUC